Molecule: long non-coding RNA, 590 nt
Organism: Esox lucius (northern pike)
Lineage: Eukaryota; Metazoa; Chordata; Actinopteri; Esociformes; Esocidae
Exons: 3
Source: RefSeq, a predicted model, not a curated record
GUGCUGUGGACUAUGCACUUGAGAAGCUGCCACUGGAAGAGCCACUGAUCAAACAUGCAACAUUUGUAGAUGUAUGGCAGAGGGCUGAAAGUGACAUCAACGAUGUCCUGUUCUUUGUUGAAAGGUUUCCCCAUCUCCUCCCACACCAUGGGCCAGAGGAGCAUGACCUUCUGGGUGAGGAGUUUCUAAAUGAUCAGACCAUGCAAAUGAAAUCCCUGCAGGAUGAAACUGAAGUGGAAAGCUUCUAGGGUGAAAUGGCAAACAGGAAACAUAAGGUGACAGGAAUUUGAGAGGCUUGCUGCCGUCACCAAGCUCGUCCGGGUGUUGCCCCAUGCAAACGCAGACGCUGAGAGGGACUGAACAAAACCAAGAGAAGAAACAGCCUAUCAUUGGAUGGCACCCUGUCCUCAAUAAUGACCAUAAAGAUGGCCAGUCUGGAGCCCCCCUCCGAGAUCAUCAAGGCCCCCAAGAAGGCCUGAGGCCAGUAUAACCAUGCCCACAGAUCAUAGACAAGGACUUUAACCAGCUUCUGAUCUGCAUCUGAUACUGAUUAUGCCUCACUUUGUUGUCAUUUUUGUAAUGCAUUCAUC